CAUGGAGGGUGAGAAUCCCGUUCGGUUAACCAAAGCGCUUUACGAUACGCUUUCAAAGAGUCAAGUUGUUUGGGAUUGCAGCUUAAAAUGGGAGGUAAAUUUCUCCUAAGGCUAAAUAUUGGCGAGAGACCGAUAGCGAACAAGUACCGUGAGGGAAAGAUGAAAAGAACUUUGAAAAGAGAGUUAAACAGUACGUGAAAUUGUUGAAAGGGAAACGAUUAAAGUCAGUCGUACCUACGAGUGAUCAACCUACUCGAGUGCGAUUUUGUGGGUAUGUUAGAGUUUAAACCUUCAUGCUUACAAAUUGGUGCUCUUUGGGCGUACUUUCUCGUAUGGUAGGUUAACAUCAAUUUCGAUCGUUAUAAAAUGACUGGAGGAAUGUAGCUUUAAUCUUGGUUGAAGUGUUAUAGCCUUUGGUAGAUGUAAUGAUUGGGAUUGAGGAUUGCAACGGAUACCCUCUGGGCUAUUCGUCUGAUCUCUGGAAGUUACCAUGGUGUCGAAAGCGUGCUUACGAUAUUAAGGUUGACGGCCAAUAGGUUAGAACGUGAUUAAAUUUGUUAAGGAUGUUGACGUAAUGG
This 578-nucleotide ribosomal RNA is filed under the name uncultured Glomeromycotina. Its description in RNAcentral is "LSU rRNA". It matches the Rfam family "Eukaryotic large subunit ribosomal RNA", at positions 204 to 637 of the family's 3401-position model. The record is from RNAcentral. Lineage: Eukaryota; Fungi; Glomeromycota.